UUGGAAAAUGUAAAUGUAAAUACAGAAAUGCAUUGCCAUUUUACAUAUUGCAUUGUCAUUUUGCAUAUUACAUCCCAAAUUGAAUAAUGCUACCCAUAUGCUUCCAUACGCGCGCACCUCCCAAAACAGAUGAGACAUUUAUACUUGACGCAACUGUUUUAGACUGAAAACCAGACCAUACAACUGAUUUAGACGCGGGUGCCGGUGUGAUGAGAUAUACUUAUAUCCGUCUGCUCGGGCAUGAUUGUUUUAGGCCUGUAAUGGAUUGAUUAUUGUGGUAAUAGGGUUUGUCACGGUUCGAUGAAAAAAAAAAAGUUCGGUUCAACCACACACGGUUCCGCACGCGCUUCAACUUAAACCUGACAAAGCAUCUGCAAUAUCAUCUGUAAUAUGACUUGCUAUAAAUGGCACGUAAAAAAAACAGGUUCAGGGUUCAGCUAAUAAAUGUUUAUGUUGAUGCAAGCGCAUUUUGGCUUCCAAGACAUUACAAAAACAUGAGAGGGAAAAAAAAACCUGGACAAAUCAUUCACUCUUGUUCAACGCGAAUGCUGUAGGUAAUUUAUUCCGUCAUCACCUGGGUGCUGAUAUCUGAAACUCAUUUAAGCUUUGUCAGUUUAAACAUUUAAGAGCCAGAGGACACGAGCACGCGCGCAGUGAGAAGAUUUAUGCGUGUUGCCUGUUAGUCACUAGCAAAUUAUUUAACUAUACAAAUAGUAUGACAAAAGUGAAAUAGUACUUAGGCCUGUAAUUGACUGAUUAUUGUGUGUAUAUACGAGUAAUAAGCCUGUGGAAAUACUUAGUUAUAUUACUGUUGAAAAUGUUGAAUUAUAGUUGGCAGUUUUUAUAGUUAUAUACUUACAUUUUGGCCUUUUUUAUAUAAUUUUUUACAAGUGGUAGAUCUUGGUUUACAUUUGGACAUUUGGAAAGGUUGGUGACCACUGAGUUAAAGCAAUUGGUCUACCCGUCAGUGUCUGAAUCAGUGUAUAACAAAUCAUUCUUCCCCUUUCAGAAUUUGUCGGUUUCUCUCCUAUCUUCUGAUACAUUAUAUUCAAUAACUACUUUCAGAUGGCUCCUAAGUUUGAAGAAGCAAUCACGUGACAUUGUGUUACUAAUGGCAGGGAUUUGUAGGGCAUUGGACCAAAACAUUCUUAUCUGUGGAAAAGGCAUGCAAAACAUUAAGAUAGCUGCUCCAAAAAAGUGAUAAAUCUCAUCUACCGAAGUUAAGUGAGAUCUCCCACUGUUACUCAGUGACGUGGCAUUUAUGCAGUCAGCAAUGAGUUUCAUCAGGUCUGAGUCAAUGUACUCCUCCACAUAAUCCAGUGUCUGCCAACCUGUUUACUCAUCUUUCAGUCCAUCAUCUCAAUCUUGAAACUGGACCAAAUUUGGUCUAAAUGGAGCAGACCACCAGCGUUCUCCAUGUCCAGCAUUCCUUGGUUCUGGUCUGGGCUCUCCAUGUCUCUGAUCUUCCUCAUCCAGCUCAUCAUUCUCAAUAUGCUGUUGUUUAUGUCCACGUCUGUGCACUUGUGAGUGAUUUGGCUGACUUUCAUUCUCAGAGUCAGUAUCUUUAGCUGCAUUAGGUGGUGUGUACUUGUAACCGGAAUCAUCUCCUGAUGAAUCAAUCGUUUGGCAAAAAAUCAGGAUGCUCAUCCAUGAGGUCAACAUCUUGUAAAAUGACUUCGUCCACAGCAGGAUCAUUAUCUUCCCCAUCUGAGAGGUCCUCCACCUCAGAGUUGUUUGCAAUUGCCAUGAUCAAUUGUUCUGCUCUUGACAAUGAAAGUUUUGCUGUAAUAACAUACUCAGCUGAGGUUUGAGUAGGCCUAUCUGCCGAUAUCCGAUAUUUACUAGAAAGAUUUACCAGGAUUAUAGCAUGAAUCACCUUGAUAAACCAUAUUGUAGUAUUAUUUACAAUGAUUUACCAUGAUUUAUUCUGCUCACACACACACACAGACAGAUGUUGUUGUUUUUUCAAUGCUUUAGAUCCAUCUAAAUAUUCCCAUGUUUAGCUAACCACAUGGUAGAAAAAAUAACGUUAUUUAGUAUCAAUGUCCUCAAACAAGUGCUUCAAAUUAACUGAUGUCUUAGAGUGCUACUAUUAAUAAAAUGUCAAAUUUUAAUCCCCAUGAAGAUAGAGACAGUAUUGUACAUAAAUACAUUUGUUUCAUUCAUAUAUUUUGAAUAUAUAUUUUUUAACUGGGUCAGACAAAAAUGUAAUGUCCUCAUAUGAGGUCGCAGGGUCUCAGGAGGUUAAUACUUAAUUUUAUGCAGUUUCUAUACCUUUACAAAAAAUUAUUGCAGUUUUUGUUAUAUGUAAAAAACUGCAUCGAUGCCGUUUACUGCAAUACUUCUGAAGUACUUGUGGCAGAAUGCAUUAACUAUGUAAUUGGUUAAACACUAGUUAACUUGUAAUAGGGCUGUAGUAUUCGAGUCCGGUCUUGGACUCGAGUCCGGACUCAACAUUUUUCUGUUCUCUCGGACUCUUUGCAUUUGCACUCGGACUUGGCCAUUGGACUCGCCAAGUCUUCUAGUUGGUCUCGGCCGAGUCCAGCCAAAAAUUAAAAUAAAAAAUGUAUCCUAGGCACGCAGCUCUCCUUAUUUCCAAAGCACUCUGUAAUCUGCGCUUGAGCUCCAGUGGCAUCUGCUGUUGCUGGGCAACCAUGUUUCCGCAAAGAAUAAAUGGAAAAUAUGUGCAUGACCAGCAGUGCACUUACUGCAACCUGAAAAGUUAAUGUAAAUUUAAAAACUUUGUAAUUAUGACUUAUUAAAAUUUUCAUGUGCAUUCGGAUACAACAUCGUACAGUUACUUGAUAAAGCCGUUAUGACUUUUUGUAUUGUUUUUUUUCGUAGUUAUCACUGAACAAGUAUGUCGUGUUAAACUAAAAUAAUUAUUAAUUUCUAAAAUAAUAUUUAUCAUGCAAACAGAGAGAAGUCAUGACAAACCUUUAGUGAUCAUUUGAACACGACUGAAUCCAUUCAAUGCGCACAUUUUCAUUACGCAGAACACUUUAAGCGAGUCUUAAUGUUAAUAAACUAAACUAAACAGAUCCCAGACAGCAUGGUAACAUUGAUUCAAUGUUGAGUUUUGAUCCAAACCAUCAUUUUGGUUGACAUCACAAUUUCAAUGUUUAAAGUGUGUUGGAUCAGCAUUGAAAUUUUGAUGAAAGGGAACAGCACACAUGGGUGAAGACAGUGACAUUGAACAAACAUUGAGUCUUAGUUCAUGAGCACACUAUCUUGCAGGCAUGUAUCUGUGCAAAACACUACUGGGUGUUUCCCAAUCAGUGGGGCGUUUCAGUUUAUGAUUUGCUCUAAUACACUGGGGGUUUGGUUUAGGGGUGGGCCCUCAUGAUUUUAGCAAGUCUUUUGAAAAAUGGUUGAAAAACCAAUUGUAGUUUGAAAAUUGGCACUAAUUGGUAUACGCCCAUUUUGGUUUUGCAUGUGGGCUUCUCAAUAGUUCAUUGAUGCUUCCUAAUUGAGAGAAAACACAAGGUGCGUCCUAUAUGGAAGUCUUGACAUGCAUGACCUCUCUGAGUUUCAAACAAUGGUGCAUAUAAUUAAUUUCUGUUUUUAGCAUGCUUUUUACUUGCAUUUUAUUUAUUGUUACUAAAUCUACUUACAUACAUAAAUUUUCAAAGUAAAACGUGUUGAAAUAAAUUGCACAGUAGCAUGGGGACAUGGGGAUACAAUGUAGUGUUUUCAUCCAAAACAUGUUGAAUCAUCAUUGAUAUUUUGAUUAAAGGCAAGAGCCAAAAUGGAAGUGGAUGAUGAAAAAUUAUCUCCAAUUCAUCGUAAGCCUUGUUUGAUAAAAUUCAAUAUUUAGCUGAUCUCUAGGAGCUCAUAAGCAUGAACAUUAAACUUGACAUAGCCCAUGUUUCUGUUACUCUACAAUUACUCCAAGGCAUUCAGUAGGAGGGGUUAAGGCUAAUGAGGAUGGAUAAUUAAAGAAAAGAGAAGCGCACCCUUAAUCAUGCUGACAUUGAUCAUACAUUGAGUUGUAGUCCACAGCAUAACUGCUUGUCACAAGAUUGGAUUGUAUCCCAUCUCCUGCUAGCAGAUUUAUUAGGUAAACAUUAAUAUUCCUGAAAAAGUAUCAAACGUAACAGUUCUAAAAGGUACAACUCAAAAUCAAAGCUGUUUUCAUGUGAUAUUCAAAUAGAUUAAUGGUUUAGCAUUAGGUAAAUCUGCAGCUUUAAUGAAACAGCUUUAUAAUUAAGCUGUUCCCCAACUGUGUUCCCACAAACUUAAUUCAGAACAUUUCACUUGCUACAAUAAAUAGGUUCUUGGUAAAUUAGGUGCCAUAACAUUUACAAACCGUCAACAUACUGAAGUCUUGUGUAUUAUAGCUCUUCCAUUUGCAAAUGUUCAAAGCACUAAAUGUAAAAUAUAUUGAAACCGUAAUAGAGUUUAGAUUAGUUUAAAUCCGUGAUACUAAAAUCAUGUUCUGUCUGUAUUCAUAAAUAGUUAAAGGUAAAUGUUAUAUUUUCAAUAUAUUUUUAUGUGACUUUAUGUAUGUAUGUAUGUAUGUUGUAUGUAUGAGAACUUAUUUUACUUUUUCAGAGACUCCAAAAGAAAAGAGACACAGUCUGAGCCAGAUUUAAUCAAAUUGAACAGUUGCACCACUUGCAGCAAUAAUGACUUCACGGUGGUCAAUCAUUGAUUAAUGAUUCAUUCAAUCAUUGGUGGUGAUCAAUGAUUAAGUCCACAGAGUCAGAAAUACUUCAACAAUUCUAUGAAACCAGUGCACAAAAUUCUGUGUCAGAAGAAAAUCAUGUUGAAGCAGUAAAGGAUUAUGUUGAAUACCCUAAAGUUGUUAUAGACUCAGCUGGUUCAGAUUGAAAUGAUUCAGUCACAGAUGAGCUCCCUGGUGGGGUGUCUGAUGAGGUUCUGUGGCAUCCAACCAAUAUACACAAUGUUAAUAAUAACACAGUCAACUUAUCAGACGUUGAUACUCUGAUACUGAGUCAGAAGCUCCAACGAGUGAGUUUCUUUUAAGGACUUUGUGAUAUUGGGCCUCAACCUUCUCAGUCUCACUUGCUGCACUCAGUGCACUUUUAAGUAUUUUGAGAAUGUUUCAUCCAGAAUUGCCCACAGAUGCCAGGACAAUUCUUAAGACCCAAACCCAUGUAUCUACCAUAAGGAUGGAAGGUAUUAUCAUUUUGGCUUGGCAAAGGGGAUAUUGUCGUGUUUGAAAAGCUUAAUUCUGCCUGAACAAUUGAAAAUAGUUAAAGUACAGUUCAAUUUAGAUGGCCUUCCACUUUUCAAAAGCUGUACUCUUCAGUUCUGGCCAAUUCUUGCCAUUGUCAAUUGUGACUAUACUAAACAUCCCUUUCUCGUUGGCCUUUACUGUGGUAUGAAAAAGCCCAAGUGCAUAUUUGAGUUCUUAAAGCCAUUUAAUGAUGAUUUAGCUGAUGUUCUUAUGGGUGGUAUUGUUUACAAUGGUCAAAACAUAUUGGUAGAAGUAAGCUCUUUUGUGUGUGAUGCCCCUGCCAGAGCCUUUGUUAAAAUAAUAAAAUCUCACAAUGGUAAUACUCAGGCUGUGACAAAUGUGUUCGAGUAGAUGAGUGGCAAAAUCAAAUUCACAUACCCAGAAACUAAUGCAAAGUUGAGGACGGAUUUUGAUUUUAAUGAUAUGAUUGAUGAAGACCACCACUUGAACCAAAAACUUUCUCCUUUAGCUGGCUUGGUAAAAAUGGUUACCAUGAUUCCAUUAGAUUAUAUGUACUUGUGCUGUCUAGGCGUCACUAGGAAACUUUUGAACUUAUGGAUCAGAGAUAAAGCACAUACUACUAGGUUGUCCGCUCAAACUGUAGCUGACAUUUCUGAAAAGUUAAAGCUGGUGAGUUCCUACACGCCGGUUGAGUUUAGUCGGAAACCAAGAGAGUUAUCAGAAAUUGUCCGCUGGAAAGCUACUGAGCUGCACUCUUCUAUGUUGUACCCAGGCCCUCUUGUGCUUCAGAAUAGCAUUCAAAUGCCAAUGUAUGAGAACUUUAUGCUGUUUUCCGUUGCAAUGUAUUUGCUUUUAUCCUCUGGAACCCCAGAGGCGAUGAUUGAUUGUGCUCAUGAAUUGCUUGUCUCAUUUGUUUGCUUUGGACAACUGUAUGGUAAACAUGAAAUAGUCUAAUAUACACCAGCUCACUCAUCUGGCUGAAGAGUAUCGUUUCUUUGGAUAAUGUGUCAGCAUUUCCUUUUGAGAAUUAUUUAGGACAAAUAAAACGUCUUUUGCGCAAGCCUUACUUACCCUUACAGCAAGUUGUGAAAAGGUUAUCUGAGAUGCCAAGUCCAGAUUCACCAAAGCCUCAUGAGUGCUUAACUUAAGUCAGACACAUUUUGACGGUCCAGUGCUCCUUAGUCUUGGCAAACAGUUCAGAAAAGCUGUCACUGAAAAGUACACUCUGUCAAUAGUGCAAGGAGAUAAUUGUGUGCAAAUAGUUGGCCACAUUGCUAUUUUAAGAAAUAUCAUCAAGGUAGAUGGAGUAGGGAUUUUUUUAUCUUGUAUUGUAGGGGAGUUAUUUUGUUGUAAAAAUGAAGCAGUGGUGCAUCGUUCAAUUUCAAAAUGGAGGCACAGAAAAUUCUGCCACACAGCUGGCUGAUUGGAAAUCAGCCAAGAUACAGGCUGCAGUGAAAAAAUAUGAGCUGCCUACUGAGGAAUGGUUGUCCUAUGAACCUUGCAAUUCGGGCCACAUAUGAAGAAGCUGAGAAGGGUUUGAAAAGAAACCUACAGGAGAACUGCAACACAAGUGACAUUCAGUCUGAAGUAGAAACUCUAGAAAAUCCAGACACAAUCCCAUUUACAACACAUCUGAUACAGAAGAGGAAGUUAAAAAAAGAAAGCUCUGCCCAGCUCUUAGACUUCUAUUUCCAGUCUCCAAUAUAAUGCAGGCUCCUGUUCAAUCAGCUUCCAGAGUCCAGACCUUUGUCCAGCACUCUAAUCAAAUUCUGCCUAACCAUCCCUCCGAGUCCUCUGACCAGAUGUGCAGCAGUUCUCCAUACUUGACUGAGUCAAGUGACUCAUCAGCCCUGCCUUCCAUGUACCCCUGCCAAGAACCAUCUUCCAAGGAUCAUGAGGGUAUCCAUUACAGAAGUGCUUAGGCAGUUUUACAAUGAGACCAAUAUUUGCUUUGAUUUUAAUGUCCAGAUUCCUAAUUUCAGGCAGUUUACACCAAUAUACAAUACUGUUACUUUAUCCUAAAAUAUAAUUUGGUUGCUAAUCUGCGAGUCUGUUCACUAGCAAUAGUUUUUUUCUUGUUGGAGAUGCAAGGGAUUCUGCAAGAGAGUUAAUGAAAGGCAAGUGCAGAGAAGUUUUCCUACUUUCCUUAUACAGUAUACAUGUUAAAUAUGUUUUGACCUGUAAUGUUUUUUUAUUCUCCACAAGAUGUUGCUUUACAAAAGUUGAUUGGAACUGUAACUGAACUUGUAAAAGAAGUGAAGGAACUGCGUGAGGAAUGUCAAGAAUUCUUCAGACAGUCUUUGCCGUCAAAGCAACCGCUGCAGUCCCUCUGCACAAUAGUGAUGAGCUUGAGAGUGCAGAGGAGAUAUUAGCAUCCAGUGAAGCAAGGACAUUAAUGAAAUUGACCUUACUUCAUCCAAUAUUUCCCUGUUCCAGUUCCUCCAUUAAUGUAUUAAAUUGCAUACAUUUCAUAUCCUGUUGUUUUUCUUUUGUUAGAUGCUAUGACUUUGCAGAUGGGUGUGGGAAAAGUUUCCCAUUAUGAAUAUAGUCAGGUAGUCCAGAAAUGGCUCCGACAUGCACCGUACUGUGUGUGGGCGGAACUGCACUUCAAACAAGUGAAACUGUUCCGUCGGUGUCUCCAGAUACAAAUUAAUUUGCUUUUUUGUUCAUUGGUUUACUUGUUUAUUGGUUUACUUUUGAGUCUGUAUGAUGUUUUUUUUUUUACAUGGAAUUGAGUGCUUUGAGUUAAAUGAAUUAAAAGAACAAAGACUGGAAAAUAAAGAAUGUGAUUGAAACAGUGUUUUUAAUUUUUUAUUAAUAUAGUUGGUUGAAUAUUGAUUCAAUGUUAUGAGCAUGUUUUUGUUUUCAAAUUUAAUAAUGUUUCGAAUGUGGGUGCAAAAGUGACGUUCACUUUGUAAUGUUGAAGCAAUAUUACCACCAUUGAUUUGUGGUUGAAAUCUGAACAUUAUUUCAAUAUUAACCGAGGGUGCAAGAGUGAUGUUAAAGUAACAUCAUUUUCUAAAGUUAUUUCAAUGUAAUCAGCGUUGACACAUCAACACUGACUCAACAUUGUUUCAAUGGUUACAUGCUAUCUGGGAUGUGUGUGUGCCGCACAAACCAGCAAAAGGUAAAUAUACCAACAU
This is a long non-coding RNA of Carassius auratus (goldfish), 8307 nucleotides long. RefSeq lists it as uncharacterized. The record is from RefSeq and is a predicted model, not a curated record. The transcript is spliced from 5 exons. NCBI's taxonomy places the organism in Eukaryota, Metazoa, Chordata, Actinopteri, Cypriniformes, Cyprinidae.